RNAcentral lists this non-coding RNA (28 nucleotides) under Homo sapiens (human). Lineage: Eukaryota; Metazoa; Chordata; Mammalia; Primates; Hominidae. The record is from RNAcentral.
GAGGAAGUCGAUGACAGUACAGAGUUUG